CUACGGGAGGCACCAGUGAGGAAUUUUGCGCAAUGGGGGGAACCCUGACGCAGCAACGCCGUGUGAGUGAAGAAGGCCUUUGGGUCGUAAAGCUCUGUCAACUGGGAAGAAGUUACUGUGCUUUAAUAGAGUGCAGUAUUGACGGUACCAGUGGAGGAAGCGUCGGCUAACUCCGUGCCAGCAGCCGCGGUAACACGGGGGACGCAAGCGUUAUUCGGAAUUAUUGGGCGUAAAGGGCGCGUAGGCGGUCUUGUCGGUCAGGUGUGAAAGCCCGGGGCUCAACCCCGGACGUGCACUUGAAACAGCAAGACUUGAGUACGGGAGAGGAAAGCGGAAUUCCUGGUGUAGAGGUGAAAUUCGUAGAUAUCAGGAGGAACACCGAUGGCGAAGGCAGCUUUCUGGACCGAAACUGACGCUGAGGCGCGAAGGCGUGGGUAGCGAACGGGAUUAGAUACCCCUGUAGUC
RNAcentral lists this ribosomal RNA (465 nucleotides) under uncultured bacterium. RNAcentral's name for it is "partial 16S ribosomal RNA". It matches the Rfam family "Bacterial small subunit ribosomal RNA", at positions 339 to 795 of the family's 1533-position model. The record is from RNAcentral.